AUACGGCCCAGACUCCUACGGGAGGCAGCAGUGGGGAAUAUUGCACAAUGGGCGCAAGCCUGAUGCAGCGACGCCGCGUGCGGGAUGACGGCCUUCGGGUUGUAAACCGCUUUUGACUGGGAGCAAGCCCUUCGGGGUGAGUGUACCUUUCGAAUAAGCACCGGCUAACUACGUGCCAGCAGCCGCGGUAAUACGUAGGGUGCAAGCGUUAUCCGGAAUUAUUGGGCGUAAAGGGCUCGUAGGCGGUUCGUCGCGUCCGGUGUGAAAGUCCAUCGCUUAACGGUGGAUCCGCGCCGGGUACGGGCGGGCUUGAGUGCGGUAGGGGAGACUGGAAUUCCCGGUGUAACGGUGGAAUGUGUAGAUAUCGGGAAGAACACCAAUGGCGAAGGCAGGUCUCUGGGCCGUCACUGACGCUGAGGAGCGAAAGCGUGGGGAGCGAACAGGAUUAGAUACCCUGGUAGUCCACGCCGUAAACGGUGGAUGCUGGAUGUGGGGACCAUUCCACGGUCUCCGUGUCGGAGCCAACGCGUUAAGCAUCCCGCCUGGGGAGUACGGCCGCAAGGCUAAAACUCAAAGAAAUUGACGGGGGCCCGCACAAGCGGCGGAGCAUGCGGAUUAAUUCGAUGCAACGCGAAGAACCUUACCUGGGCUUGACAUGUUCCCGACAGCCGUAGAGAUACGGUCUCCCUUCGGGGCGGGUUCACAGGUGGUGCAUGGUCGUCGUCAGCUCGUGUCGUGAGAUGUUGGGUUAAGUCCCGCAACGAGCGCAACCCUCGCCCUGUGUUGCCAGCACGUCGUGGUGGGAACUCACGGGGGACCGCCGGGGUCAACUCGGAGGAAGGUGGGGAUGACGUCAGAUCAUCAUGCCCCUUACGUCCAGGGCUUCACGCAUGCUACAAUGGCCGGUACAACGGGAUGCGACCUCGUGAGGGGGAGCGGAUCCCUUAAAACCGGUCUCAGUUCGGAUUGGAGUCUGCAACCCGACUCCAUGAAGGCGGAGUCGCUAGUAAUCGCGGAUCAGCAACGCCGCGGUGAAUGCGUUCCCGGGCCUUGUACACACCGCCCGUCAAGUCAUGAAAGUGGGUAGCACCCGAAGCCGGUGGCCCAACCUUUUUGGGGGGAGCCGUCUAAGGUGAGACUCGUGAUUGGGACUAAGUCGGAACAAGGUAGCCGUACCGGAAGGUGCGGCUG
This 1191-nucleotide ribosomal RNA is filed under the name metagenome. RNAcentral's name for it is "bacterial SSU rRNA". It matches the Rfam family "Bacterial small subunit ribosomal RNA", at positions 324 to 1520 of the family's 1533-position model. The record is from RNAcentral.